Gorilla gorilla gorilla (western lowland gorilla) is the source of this 102-nucleotide small nuclear RNA. NCBI's taxonomy places the organism in Eukaryota, Metazoa, Chordata, Mammalia, Primates, Hominidae. The record is from Ensembl.
GUGCUAGCUUUGGCAGCACGCAUGAAAAAAUUGGAAUGACAAAGAUUACCAUGGGCCCUGCGCAAAGGUGACACUCAAAUUCAUGAUCUCAUAUUUAUCUAU